GAUGAACGCUGACAGAAUGCUUAACACAUGCAAGUCAACUUGAACUUCGGUUUGGGUGGCGGACGGGUGAGUAACGCGUAAAGAACUUGCCUCACAGCUAGGGACAACAUUUGGAAACGAAUGCUAAUACCUGAUAUUAUGAUUAUAUGGCAUCGUAUAAUUAUGAAAGCUAUAUGCGCUGUGAGAGAGCUUUGCGUCCCAUUAGCUAGUUGGAGAGGUAACAGCUCACCAAGGCGAUGAUGGGUAGCCGGCCUGAGAGGGUGAUCGGCCACAAGGGGACUGAGACACGGCCCUUACUCCUACGGGAGGCAGCAGUGGGGAAUAUUGGACAAUGGACCGAGAGUCUGAUCCAGCAAUUCUGUGUGCACGAUGAAGCUUUUCGGAAUGUAAAGUGCUUUCAGUUGGGAAGAAAAAAAUGACGGUACCAACAGAAGAAGUGACGGCUAAAUACGUG
RNAcentral lists this ribosomal RNA (454 nucleotides) under uncultured bacterium. Its description in RNAcentral is "partial 16S ribosomal RNA". It matches the Rfam family "Bacterial small subunit ribosomal RNA", at positions 28 to 507 of the family's 1533-position model. The record is from RNAcentral.